This 534-nucleotide ribosomal RNA is filed under the name uncultured Bacteroidota bacterium. Its description in RNAcentral is "uncultured Bacteroidetes bacterium partial 16S ribosomal RNA". It matches the Rfam family "Bacterial small subunit ribosomal RNA", at positions 349 to 884 of the family's 1533-position model. The record is from RNAcentral. Lineage: Bacteria; Pseudomonadati; Bacteroidota.
CACCAGUGAGGAAUAUUGCNCAAUGGACGAAAGUCUGACGCAGCCAUACCGCGUGAAGGAUNACGGCGCUACGCGUUGUAAACUUCUUUUAUAUACCAAGAAACCUUCGGANGUGUCCGAAGCUGACGGUAGUAUAUGAAUAAGCACCGGCUAACUCCGUGCCAGCAGCCGCGGUAAUACGGAGGGNGCAAGCGUUAUCCGGAUUUAUUGGGUUUAAAGGGUCCGUAGGCGGAUCAUUAAGUCAGUGGUGAAAUCCGACAGCUCAACUGUCGAACUGCCAUUGAUACUGNUGAUCUUGAGUACGGNUGAAGUAGGCGGAAUAUGACAUNUAGCGGUGAAAUNCUUAGAUAUGUCAUNGAACACCGAUUGCGAAGNCAGCNUACUAANCCGUUACUGACNCUGAGGGACGAAAGUGUGGGGAGCGNACAGGAUUAGAUACCCUGGUAGUCCACACCGUAAACGAUGAUUACUCGGUAUUGGCUUUAUUGUCAGUGCCCCAAGCGAAAGUGAUAAGUAAUCCACCUGGGGAGUACG